CCUACGGGGGGCAGCAGUGGGGAAUAUUGCACAAUGGGCGCAAGCCUGAUGCAGCCAUGCCGCGUGUGUGAAGAAGGCCUUCGGGUUGUAAAGCACUUUCAGCGGGGAGGAAGGCGGUGAGGUUAACAACCUCAUCGAUUGACGUUACCCGCAGAAGAAGCACCGGCUAACUCCGUGCCAGCAGCCGCGGUAAUACGGAGGGUGCAAGCGUUAAUCGGAAUUACUGGGCGUAAAGCGCACGCAGGCGGUCUGUCAAGUCGGAUGUGAAAUCCCCGGGCUCAACCUGGGAACUGCAUUCGAAACUGGCAGGCUAGAGUCUUGUAGAGGGGGGUAGAAUUCCAGGUGUAGCGGUGAAAUGCGUAGAGAUCUGGAGGAAUACCGGUGGCGAAGGCGGCCCCCUGGACAAAGACUGACGCUCAGGUGCGAAAGCGUGGGGAGCAAACAGGAUUAGAUACCCGAGUAGUC
RNAcentral lists this ribosomal RNA (465 nucleotides) under uncultured Klebsiella sp. Its description in RNAcentral is "bacterial SSU rRNA". It matches the Rfam family "Bacterial small subunit ribosomal RNA", at positions 338 to 795 of the family's 1533-position model. Lineage: Bacteria; Pseudomonadati; Pseudomonadota; Gammaproteobacteria; Enterobacterales; Enterobacteriaceae. The record is from RNAcentral.